This 156-nucleotide ribosomal RNA is filed under the name Triticum aestivum (bread wheat). RNAcentral's name for it is "rRNA 5_8S_rRNA". It matches the Rfam family "5.8S ribosomal RNA". From Rfam's summary of the family: 5.8S ribosomal RNA (5.8S rRNA) is a component of the large subunit of the eukaryotic ribosome. It is transcribed by RNA polymerase I as part of the 45S precursor that also contains 18S and 28S rRNA. The record is from RNAcentral. Lineage: Eukaryota; Viridiplantae; Streptophyta; Magnoliopsida; Poales; Poaceae.
GACUCUCGGCAACGGAUAUCUCGGCUCUCGCAUCGAUGAAGAACGUAGCGAAAUGCGAUACCUUGUGUGAAUUGCAGAAUCCCGCGAACCAUCGAGUCUUUGAACGCAAGUUGCGCCCGAGGCCACUCGGCCGAGGGCACGCCUGCCUGGGCGUCA